RNAcentral lists this ribosomal RNA (371 nucleotides) under uncultured organism. RNAcentral describes it as "bacterial SSU rRNA". It matches the Rfam family "Bacterial small subunit ribosomal RNA", at positions 526 to 896 of the family's 1533-position model. The record is from RNAcentral.
CAGAGGUCCCAAGCGUUGUUCGGAUUCACUGGGCGUAAAGGGUGCGUAGGUGGUGAGGUAAGUCGGAUGUGAAAUCUCCGAGCUCAACUCGGAAAUGGCAUUGGAAACUACCUUGCUCGAGGGUUGGAGGGGGACUGGAAUACUUGGUGUAGCAGUGAAAUGCGUAGAUAUCAAGUGGAACACCAGUGGCGAAGGCGAGUCCCUGGACAACUCCUGACACUGAGGCACGAAAGCUAGGGGAGCAAACAGGAUUAGAUACCCUGGUAGUCCUAGCCGUAAACGGUGCACGUUUGCUGUAAAAGGAAUCGACCCCUUUUGUGGCGUAGCCAACGCGUUAAACGUGCCGCCUGGGAAGUACGGUCGCAAGAUUA